UCUGGGACACGAAUCCAGGCCCUACGGGGCGCAGCAGGCGCGAAAACUUUACAAUGCGAGAAAUCGUGAUAAGGGAACCCCGAGUGCCCGUAAAUUCGGGCUGUCCGCCAGUGUAAAUAACUGGUGAAGAAAGGGCCGGGCAAGACCGGUGCCAGCCGCCGCGGUAAUACCGGCGGCUCGAGUGGUGGCCACUAUUACUGGGCUUAAAGCGUCCGUAGCUGGAUUGUUAAGUCUCUUGGGAAAUCCACCGGCUCAACCGAUGGGCGUUCAGGAGAAACUGGCAAUCUAGGGACCGGGAGAGGUGAGAGGUACUCCAGGGGUAGGAGUGAAAUCCUGUAAUCCUUGGGGGACCACCUGUGGCGAAGGCGUCUCACUAGAACGGCUCCGACAGUGAGGGACGAAAGCUGGGGGAGCAAACCGGAUUAGAUACCCGGGUAGUCCCAGCUGUAAACGAUGCGCGUUAGGUGUAUCGGUGACCACGAGUCAUCGAGGUGCCGAAGGGAAACCGUGAAACGU
This 516-nucleotide ribosomal RNA is filed under the name uncultured archaeon. RNAcentral's name for it is "bacterial SSU rRNA". It matches the Rfam family "Archaeal small subunit ribosomal RNA", at positions 302 to 822 of the family's 1478-position model. The record is from RNAcentral.